GGAUCUCCAAGCCUAUAAUUUACAGUUGCCAGAAGUUCAAUCAAGACCGCAUUUUGGAUUAAUCCCAUAUUUUGAAGACAUGGUACAGAACAAGUCAAUAGGAAUUUCAGCAGAAUCACUGACCAGUUUGAAACUAUCUGCUCUCCAUAACCCUUUUGUAGAAUGAGUUGACAAGAAUAAUAAGUCCUGCACAGCCCCUUUCAUCUGAGAUGAACCUAGUCUGAG
RNAcentral lists this unclassified non-coding RNA (225 nucleotides) under Hevea brasiliensis (rubber tree). Lineage: Eukaryota; Viridiplantae; Streptophyta; Magnoliopsida; Malpighiales; Euphorbiaceae. The record is from RNAcentral.